AGAGCGAACGCUGGCGGCAGGCCUAACACAUGCAAGUCGAGCGCCCGUAGCAAUACGGGAGCGGCAGACGGGAGAGUAACACGUGGGAACGCGCCCUUCGGUUCGGAAUAACUCAGGGAAACUUGAGCUAAUACCGGAUACGCCCUUACGGGGAAAGAUUUAUUGCCGAAGGAACGGCCCGCGUCCGAUUAGCUUGUUGGUGAGGUAAUGGCUCACCAAGGCGACGAUCGGUAGCUGGUCUGAGAGGAUGACCAGCCUCACUGGGACUGAGACACGGCCCAGACUCCUACGGGAGGCAGCAGUGGGGAAUAUUGGACAAUGGGCGCAAGCCUGAUCCAGCCAUGCCGCGUGGAUGAUGAAGGCCCUAGGGUUGUAAAGUCUUUAACGGGAAGAUAAUGACGGUACCGUAGAAUAAGCCCCGGCUAACUUCGUGCCAGCAGCCGC
RNAcentral lists this ribosomal RNA (444 nucleotides) under uncultured bacterium. RNAcentral describes it as "SSU rRNA". It matches the Rfam family "Bacterial small subunit ribosomal RNA", at positions 26 to 518 of the family's 1533-position model. The record is from RNAcentral.